This 178-nucleotide small RNA is filed under the name Crocodylus porosus (Australian saltwater crocodile). RNAcentral describes it as "TUC338 (ENSCPRG00005001789.1)". The record is from RNAcentral. Lineage: Eukaryota; Metazoa; Chordata; Crocodylia; Crocodylidae.
UUCACAGCCCUGGAGGCUGAAUUCCUCUCCUUACCCACAAAACCAGUGCAGCACAAGCAGAGGGUGUGUGAGCUUCCUCACUCCACCCUAUCCUUGUGUCUCCUCUAUGACCUAGAGGGGCAACCUCUAGGCAUGAGUGGGUAGUUCAGUCUCUGUGCUUAUUUAAUCCUUCGCCAAC